RNAcentral lists this ribosomal RNA (247 nucleotides) under Brassica napus (rape). RNAcentral's name for it is "rRNA SSU_rRNA_eukarya". It matches the Rfam family "Eukaryotic small subunit ribosomal RNA", at positions 174 to 388 of the family's 1831-position model. The record is from RNAcentral. Lineage: Eukaryota; Viridiplantae; Streptophyta; Magnoliopsida; Brassicales; Brassicaceae.
CUCUCUAACUCUAUAAUUAGGUUGUUGGGGUCGGUGCGCUGCAGCGCUGUGAACCUAGGUUCCUAGUGAGAGGGUGGGUUGUCACAAUCUGCCCGUUGCUCUGAUGGUUCAUGAUAACUCGACGGAUCGCAUGGCCUUAGUGCUGGCGACGCAUCAUUCAAAUUUCUGCCCUAUCAACUUUCGAUGGUAGGAUAGUGUCCUACCACGGUGGUAACGGGUGACAGAGAAUUAGGGUUCGCUUCCGGAG